AUUGAACGCUGGCGGCAUGCCUUACACAUGCAAGUCGAACGGCAGCACGGGAGCAAUCCUGGUGGCGAGUGGCGAACGGGUGAGUAAUAUAUCGAAACGUGCCCAGUCGUGGGGAUAACGUAGCGAAAGCUACGCUAAUACCGCAUACGAUCUAUGGAUGAAAGCGGGGGAUCGCAAGACCUCGCGCGAUUGGAGCGGCCGAUAUCAGAUUAGGUAGUUGGUGAGGUAAAGGCUCACCAAGCCGACGAUCUGUAGCUGGUCUGAGAGGACGACCAGCCACACUGGAACUGAGACACGGUCCAGACUCCUACGGAGGCAGCAGUGGGGAAUUUUGGGACAAUGGACGCAAGUCUGAUCCAGCCG
Molecule: ribosomal RNA, 363 nt
Filed under: uncultured bacterium
Lineage: Bacteria
Description: bacterial SSU rRNA
Rfam family: Bacterial small subunit ribosomal RNA
Source: RNAcentral